RNAcentral lists this transfer RNA (75 nucleotides) under Candidatus Yonathbacteria bacterium RIFCSPHIGHO2_01_FULL_51_10. RNAcentral's name for it is "tRNA-Arg". It matches the Rfam family "tRNA". Rfam says of the family: Transfer RNA (tRNA) molecules are approximately 80 nucleotides in length. Their secondary structure includes four short double-helical elements and three loops (D, anti-codon, and T loops). Lineage: Bacteria; Candidatus Yonathiibacteriota. The record is from RNAcentral.
GCCCUCGUCGUUCAAUGGAUAGGAUGCCUCCCUCCGAAGGAGGUGAUGCAGGUUCGAUUCCUGCUGAGGGCACCG